This 170-nucleotide small RNA is filed under the name human gut metagenome. Its description in RNAcentral is "Bacteroidales-1 6S-Bacteroidales RNA suggested". It matches the Rfam family "Bacteroidales-1 6S-Bacteroidales RNA suggested". The record is from RNAcentral.
GCUGCAUCGGUUAGAUCGGGAUACUCAUCAAUAAUUACAGAAAUACCGAGUAAGCUACUCCGCUUCAAUGGCGGGCCGACACAUUUCAUGGAGUCGGAUUACAGAGAACGGAGAGCCCUCAAAUCUUAUUUUAGCUCGGAGUUUCAUCACAUCACCGGUGUAGCCUUCUU